This 620-nucleotide long non-coding RNA is filed under the name Homo sapiens (human). RNAcentral describes it as "HSALNT0334798". Lineage: Eukaryota; Metazoa; Chordata; Mammalia; Primates; Hominidae. The record is from RNAcentral.
UGACGGAAAACGGAAGGAAUUGCCGCCAGUUCCUUUCCACGGGCCGUCAAGGCCAAUAUAAGUCCCCACCCAGGCUCCUCUGCUCGUAACUUCCAGCACGACUCCCACUGUAUUCGCCCAUGUUUCCCAAAAGAUCCCGACUCAGAUUGAAAAAGCAGAGGAUGGUCACUGCCUUCCAGGUCUGAGGCUGUCUCCCAGAAACUUCAUUCCUCGCUUCGCCUUGGUUCUCCAUCACUUUCUGAGUCCUACAGGAGGAAAGUGCUAUUGAAGAUGAGGCGCGUAUGGCGUGAAGUUCUGGGGCUGGGAGAAGCUGCCCCGCUACUUCCGGGUGGCCUUGCCUGCAGGGAGCAGUUCACAACCUAGUGCUGUCCACUUGCAUGGGAUGUUUCUUUUCCAUCACAAUGCUCUGAGAUAACGAAGUCGAGGGAAGUUUGUGCAGCCCUCCAGACCCUCCAGAUUUCAAAGGAAAGCCCACCGCUGCUGGUCUGGGGGAGCUGAUGGCCUAUUCAUGGAUGAGAUGGACUAAGGACAGUGGGAAGCACAAUGGACCAACAGUAUUGUUGGAGGGGACUGCGUGAGGAAGCAGGAGCCUAAACAACACUCUCCAGAUACUGCGUGAA